Molecule: ribosomal RNA, 406 nt
Filed under: uncultured bacterium
Lineage: Bacteria
Description: partial 16S ribosomal RNA
Rfam family: Bacterial small subunit ribosomal RNA
Source: RNAcentral
AUUGAACGCUGGCGGCAGGCCUAACACAUGCAAGUCGAACGAUCGGCGGACGGGUGAGUAAUGUCUGGGAAACUGCCCGAUGGAGGGGGAUAACUACUGGAAACGGUAGCUAAUACCGCAUACCAUCGGAUGUCCCCAGAUGGGCUUAGCUAGUAGGUGGGGUAACGGCUCACCUAGGCGACGAUCCCUAGCUGGUCUGAGAGGAUGACCAGCCACACUGGAACUGAGGCACGGACCAGGAUCCUACGGGAGGCAGCGGUGGGGAAUAUUGCAAAAUGGGCGCAAGCCUGGUGCAGCCAUGCCGCGUGUAUGAAGAAGGCCUUCGGGUUGUAAAGUACUUUCAGCGAGGAGGCGUUACGCGCAGAAGAAGCAUCGGCUAACUCCGUGCCAGCAGCCGCGGUAAUUC